Molecule: long non-coding RNA, 220 nt
Organism: Mya arenaria
Lineage: Eukaryota; Metazoa; Mollusca; Bivalvia; Myida; Myidae
Exons: 3
Source: RefSeq, a predicted model, not a curated record
GUGGAAUUGAGUGUGGAUGCAUGUGUGAAGAAACUGAAUUUGGCUAUUGAACAGUUAUACAUGAAUAUAUCUUAUUACGACUUUGAGUGGGGUCAAGUGAACACCUUUUCUAUGUUUGGUGUUGUUCGACUGAGAUUCACUAUAGACUACCUGGAACUUUCAAACGUCUUCAUUACGUCACUUAACAUAUCAGUAUGCCUAGAAGCAGACUCAAAGUGUG